This 499-nucleotide ribosomal RNA is filed under the name uncultured bacterium. RNAcentral's name for it is "partial 16S ribosomal RNA". It matches the Rfam family "Bacterial small subunit ribosomal RNA", at positions 28 to 507 of the family's 1533-position model. The record is from RNAcentral.
GACGAACGCUGGCGGCGUGCCUAAUACAUGCAAGUCGAGCGAAGUUUUUCUGGUGCUUGCACCGGAAAAACUUAGCGGCGAACGGGUGAGUAACACGUAAAGAACCUGCCUCAUAGACUGGGACAACUAUUGGAAACGAUAGCUAAUACCGGAUAACAGCAUUAACUGCAUGGUUGAUGUUUAAAAGUUGGUUUUGCUAACACUAUGAGAUGGCUUUGCGGUGCAUUAGCUAGUUGGUGGGGUAAAGGCCUACCAAGGCGACGAUGCAUAGCCGACCUGAGAGGGUGAUCGGCCACACUGGGACUGAGACACGGCCCAGACUCCUACGGGAGGCAGCAGUAGGGAAUCUUCCGCAAUGGGCGAAAGCCUGACGGAGCAACGCCGCGUGAGUGAAGAAGGAUUUCGGUUCGUAAAGCUCUGUUGUUAGGGAAGAAUGAUUGCGUAGUAACUAUACACAGUAGAGACGGUACCUAACCAGAAAGCCACGGCUAACUACGUG